ACGGUUAGCAGCUUUGUCGCCGACAAGCGUCAUACGAGUUUUCGUCUCCCUAUACGUUGAAUUUUAAAUUUUUUAACUGUUCUUGUUAGGAUUUUUGUUGAAAAGAUUGUUGUGGGCAACAAAAUGAAAAGAAAGGUGAUACUUAGUGAAGGGAGAAACAUAAUCCUGAAAAAGAAACAUAAAGGAAAAUUAUUACUGAGCUAUUGGGAUACAAAUUUAAAAAGUGCAAGAACACCCGUGUGGUCUUAAUACAAAAACCCGAUACCGCUAUAUUCUAAUGUACUUAUGUAUAAUAUAUUGUUAAAAACAAUAAAUGCAAAGUAAAAUCUAACAAA
This is a long non-coding RNA of Bombyx mori (domestic silkworm), 335 nucleotides long. RefSeq lists it as uncharacterized. The record is from RefSeq and is a predicted model, not a curated record. NCBI's taxonomy places the organism in Eukaryota, Metazoa, Arthropoda, Insecta, Lepidoptera, Bombycidae. The transcript is spliced from 2 exons.